UUUAUUUUUAAUAUCUAGCCUGCCCAUUGAUAUUGGAUUUAACGGCCGCAGUAUUUUGACUGUGCAAAGGUAGCAUAAUCAGUUGUUUAUUAAUUGUAGACUUGCAUGAACGGUUGGACUUAGUUUUUCUUUUUUUGUGCUUAGAUAAUGAAGUUAUGCUUUUUGUUAAAAUGCAAAAAUAAAAUUUAGGGACGAGAAGACCCCGUUGAGCUUUAUAAUAUCCGUUAUUUUUAACGGGAUGGAAAGCGUGUUUAUUUGACUGGGGCGGUGACAGGCUUGAAAACAGAAUUAUUGAGCCAUUAAAUAUGAAAAUAGGAUUAAGUUACCGCGGGGAUAACAGCUUAAUAUUAUUUGAUAGGUCUUAUUGAUAAUAAUGUUUAUGACCUCGAUGUUGGUUUAGGGUGUUUGUAAGAAGUAUAAGGUUUGAAAAAUGGUUUGUUCAACCAUUAAUUCUUUUAUG
Molecule: ribosomal RNA, 460 nt
Filed under: Cryptops sarasini
Lineage: Eukaryota; Metazoa; Arthropoda; Chilopoda; Scolopendromorpha; Cryptopidae
Description: partial 16S ribosomal RNA
Rfam family: Bacterial large subunit ribosomal RNA
Source: RNAcentral